AAUUGCUUAAAUGGAAUUGGAGGAAAAGGAAACCAACAGGGAUUGGCCCUAGUAACGGCGAGUGAAGCGGCAACAGCUCAAAUUUGAAAUCUGGCUCUCGGGCCCGAGUUGUAAUUUGUAGAGGAUGCUUUUGAUGCGGUGCCUUCCGAGUUCCCUGGAACGGGACGCCAUAGAGGGUGAGAGCCCCGUCUGGUUGGAUGCCAAAUCUCUGUAAAGCUCCUUCGACGAGUCGAGUAGUUUGGGAAUGCUGCUCUAAAUGGGAGGUAUAUGUCUUCUAAAGCUAAAUACCGGCCAGAGACCGAUAGCGCACAAGUAGAGUGAUCGAAAGAUGAAAAGCACUUUGAAAAGAGAGUUAAAAAGUACGUGAAAUUGUUGAAAGGGAAGCGUUUAUGACCAGACUUGGGCUUGGUUAAUCAUCUGGGGUUCUCCCCAGUGCACUUUUCCAGUCCAGGCCAGCAUCAGUUUUCGCCGGGGGAUAAAGGCUUCGGGAAUGUGGCUCUCUCCGGGGAGUGUUAUAGCCCGUUGCGUAAUACCCUGGCGGGGACUGAGGUUCGCGCAUCUGCAAGGAUGCUGGCGUAAUGGUCAUCAACGACCCGUCUUGAAACACGGACCAA
RNAcentral lists this ribosomal RNA (614 nucleotides) under Fusarium equiseti. Its description in RNAcentral is "partial large subunit ribosomal RNA". It matches the Rfam family "Eukaryotic large subunit ribosomal RNA", at positions 31 to 669 of the family's 3401-position model. Lineage: Eukaryota; Fungi; Ascomycota; Sordariomycetes; Hypocreales; Nectriaceae. The record is from RNAcentral.